UUUCCAGUCCUGCUUACUGCAGGAAUUGUUGUGGGCGGGACUGAAAAUUUGACGGACCAGCAAAAGGUCCAUUGACUUCAGGCAUGAAUUUCUACUCCCACCUGACCAUAGGGACCAUAAGAAAACCUUCAAAUCAGCUGCAGUCAACUAAGCAGCCAAGGUAAUAAACAGAAAUAACUUGAAGUUGGGAGAAGGACUCUCCCCAACCUGUUCCAACUUCAAGUUCCCCUGAGUACCAACCUCCCGGAAAUUCAACAAGAAGCCUCACAACUUAGUGAGAAGGUCAACUAAAAGCAUCAACUCAACUAAGAAACUACAGCCUACCAUGAAAGAGAGACUGAGACAAAUGGAUAACAAAAAGGUUAUUUAUUUUAUAACUCCCAAAAAUGCUUGCUGCUGGGUUUCUUUAAGUUGGGACAACUGCUCUGAGGGUAAGAAAACACAGCCCCUCCCACAUACAAAACACUUUGAACAUGGACAGUAAGAAAACACGUACAUUCAUCUGUGGUGCUACCUUACGGGAAGAUCUGCAACUUUCAGCUGAGUUUGGUGAGCCUCCAAAGAUGCCAUGGAACUAUAACAACUGCUUUGUUUUGCCACCGUCAUGGUCAACAGAAAAAGACCACCGGUACUACAGAUCAUGUGGAUACUAUUUCACUCAUUCAAUAUUCCAUUGUUUAUUUUAUCAUUAAACAUUCAAAUGCAUUAGACAUAA
Carcharodon carcharias (great white shark) is the source of this 715-nucleotide long non-coding RNA. RefSeq lists it as uncharacterized. NCBI's taxonomy places the organism in Eukaryota, Metazoa, Chordata, Chondrichthyes, Lamniformes, Lamnidae. The transcript has 2 exons. The record is from RefSeq and is a predicted model, not a curated record.